RNAcentral lists this ribosomal RNA (2610 nucleotides) under Staphylococcus aureus. RNAcentral describes it as "partial 23S ribosomal RNA". It matches the Rfam family "Bacterial large subunit ribosomal RNA", at positions 310 to 2925 of the family's 2925-position model. Lineage: Bacteria; Bacillati; Bacillota; Bacilli; Caryophanales; Staphylococcaceae. The record is from RNAcentral. RNAcentral also lists the same sequence under 2 other names.
ACGGAGUUACAAAGGACGACAUUAGACGAAUCAUCUGGAAAGAUGAAUCAAAGAAGGUAAUAAUCCUGUAGUCGAAAAUGUUGUCUCUCUUGAGUGGAUCCUGAGUACGACGGAGCACGUGAAAUUCCGUCGGAAUCUGGGAGGACCAUCUCCUAAGGCUAAAUACUCUCUAGUGACCGAUAGUGAACCAGUACCGUGAGGGAAAGGUGAAAAGCACCCCGGAAGGGGAGUGAAAUAGAACCUGAAACCGUGUGCUUACAAGUAGUCAGAGCCCGUUAAUGGGUGAUGGCGUGCCUUUUGUAGAAUGAACCGGCGAGUUACGAUUUGAUGCAAGGUUAAGCAGUAAAUGUGGAGCCGUAGCGAAAGCGAGUCUGAAUAGGGCGUUUAGUAUUUGGUCGUAGACCCGAAACCAGGUGAUCUACCCUUGGUCAGGUUGAAGUUCAGGUAACACUGAAUGGAGGACCGAACCGACUUACGUUGAAAAGUGAGCGGAUGAACUGAGGGUAGCGGAGAAAUUCCAAUCGAACCUGGAGAUAGCUGGUUCUCUCCGAAAUAGCUUUAGGGCUAGCCUCAAGUGAUGAUUAUUGGAGGUAGAGCACUGUUUGGACGAGGGGCCCCUCUCGGGUUACCGAAUUCAGACAAACUCCGAAUGCCAAUUAAUUUAACUUGGGAGUCAGAACAUGGGUGAUAAGGUCCGUGUUCGAAAGGGAAACAGCCCAGACCACCAGCUAAGGUCCCAAAAUAUAUGUUAAGUGGAAAAGGAUGUGGCGUUGCCCAGACAACUAGGAUGUUGGCUUAGAAGCAGCCAUCAUUUAAAGAGUGCGUAAUAGCUCACUAGUCGAGUGACACUGCGCCGAAAAUGUACCGGGGCUAAACAUAUUACCGAAGCUGUGGAUUGUCCUUUGGACAAUGGUAGGAGAGCGUUCUAAGGGCGUUGAAGCAUGAUCGUAAGGACAUGUGGAGCGCUUAGAAGUGAGAAUGCCGGUGUGAGUAGCGAAAGACGGGUGAGAAUCCCGUCCACCGAUUGACUAAGGUUUCCAGAGGAAGGCUCGUCCGCUCUGGGUUAGUCGGGUCCUAAGCUGAGGCCGACAGGCGUAGGCGAUGGAUAACAGGUUGAUAUUCCUGUACCACCUAUAAUCGUUUUAAUCGAUGGGGGGACGCAGUAGGAUAGGCGAAGCGUGCGAUUGGAUUGCACGUCUAAGCAGUAAGGCUGAGUAUUAGGCAAAUCCGGUACUCGUUAAGGCUGAGCUGUGAUGGGGAGAAGACAUUGAGUCUUCGAGUCGUUGAUUUCACACUGCCGAGAAAAGCCUCUAGAUAGAAAAUAGGUGCCCGUACCGCAAACCGACACAGGUAGUCAAGAUGAGAAUUCUAAGGUGAGCGAGCGAACUCUCGUUAAGGAACUCGGCAAAAUGACCCCGUAACUUCGGGAGAAGGGGUGCUCUUUAGGGUUAACGCCCAGAAGAGCCGCAGUGAAUAGGCCCAAGCGACUGUUUAUCAAAAACACAGGUCUCUGCUAAACCGUAAGGUGAUGUAUAGGGGCUGACGCCUGCCCGGUGCUGGAAGGUUAAGAGGAGUGGUUAGCUUCUGCGAAGCUACGAAUCGAAGCCCCAGUAAACGGCGGCCGUAACUAUAACGGUCCUAAGGUAGCGAAAUUCCUUGUCGGGUAAGUUCCGACCCGCACGAAAGGCGUAACGAUUUGGGCACUGUCUCAACGAGAGACUCGGUGAAAUCAUAGUACCUGUGAAGAUGCAGGUUACCCGCGACAGGACGGAAAGACCCCGUGGAGCUUUACUGUAGCCUGAUAUUGAAAUUCGGCACAGCUUGUACAGGAUAGGUAGGAGCCUUUGAAACGUGAGCGCUAGCUUACGUGGAGGCGCUGGUGGGAUACUACCCUAGCUGUGUUGGCUUUCUAACCCGCACCACUUAUCGUGGUGGGAGACAGUGUCAGGCGGGCAGUUUGACUGGGGCGGUCGCCUCCUAAAAGGUAACGGAGGCGCUCAAAGGUUCCCUCAGAAUGGUUGGAAAUCAUUCAUAGAGUGUAAAGGCAUAAGGGAGCUUGACUGCGAGACCUACAAGUCGAGCAGGGUCGAAAGACGGACUUAGUGAUCCGGUGGUUCCGCAUGGAAGGGCCAUCGCUCAACGGAUAAAAGCUACCCCGGGGAUAACAGGCUUAUCUCCCCCAAGAGUUCACAUCGACGGGGAGGUUUGGCACCUCGAUGUCGGCUCAUCGCAUCCUGGGGCUGUAGUCGGUCCCAAGGGUUGGGCUGUUCGCCCAUUAAAGCGGUACGCGAGCUGGGUUCAGAACGUCGUGAGACAGUUCGGUCCCUAUCCGUCGUGGGCGUAGGAAAUUUGAGAGGAGCUGUCCUUAGUACGAGAGGACCGGGAUGGACAUACCUCUGGUGUACCAGUUGUCGUGCCAACGGCAUAGCUGGGUAGCUAUGUGUGGACGGGAUAAGUGCUGAAAGCAUCUAAGCAUGAAGCCCCCCUCAAGAUGAGAUUUCCCAACUUCGGUUAUAAGAUCCCUCAAAGAUGAUGAGGUUAAUAGGUUCGAGGUGGAAGCAUGGUGACAUGUGGAGCUGACGAAUACUAAUCGAUCGAAGACUUAAUCAA